Small nucleolar RNA from Quercus robur (English oak), 145 nucleotides. RefSeq annotates it as small nucleolar RNA snoR135. Lineage: Eukaryota; Viridiplantae; Streptophyta; Magnoliopsida; Fagales; Fagaceae. The transcript has a single exon. The record is from RefSeq and is a predicted model, not a curated record.
AAAGCAGGGAUUGUGUGUAUCGGCGUUGUGCAACAAUAAGUGCACUGUGUCCGAAAGAGUUCUCUGCAACAUUGAUCUGGGGAAGGUGGGCAGUUGUGUUUCAUCUUUACCGUUGAUAUUUUCAACAAUCAUCUUCCCCACAUCG